GUGAGGAAUAUUGCGCAAUGGAGGCAACUCUGACGCAGCCAUGCCGCGUGCAGGAAGAAGGCGCUACGCGUUGUAAACUGCUUUUAACCGGGAAGAAACCCCAGGACGUGUCCUGGGUUGACGGUACCGGAGGAAUAAGCACCGGCUAACUUCGUGCCAGCAGCCGCGGUAAUACGAAGGGUGCAAGCGUUAUCCGGAUUCAUUGGGUUUAAAGGGUGCGUAGGCGGAGCGUUAAGUCAGUGGUGAAAUCCUGCAGCUUAACUGUAGACUUGCCAUUGAUACUGGCGCUCUUGAGUGCGCUUGAAGUGGGCGGAAUGUGCCGUGUAGCGGUGAAAUGCUUAGAUAUGGCACAGAACACCAAUUGCAAAGGCAGCUCACUAAGGCGAUACUGACGCUGAGGCACGAAAGCGUGGGGAUCGAACAGGAUUAGAUACCCCAGUAGUCC
RNAcentral lists this ribosomal RNA (445 nucleotides) under uncultured bacterium. Its description in RNAcentral is "partial 16S ribosomal RNA". It matches the Rfam family "Bacterial small subunit ribosomal RNA", at positions 354 to 796 of the family's 1533-position model. The record is from RNAcentral.